This 122-nucleotide ribosomal RNA is filed under the name Kwoniella pini. The record is from RNAcentral. Lineage: Eukaryota; Fungi; Basidiomycota; Tremellomycetes; Tremellales; Cryptococcaceae.
AUCUACGACCAUAGAAUCCAGAAAGCACCACGUCCCGUUUGCUCCGUGAAGUUAAGUUGGAUAUCGCUCGGCUAGUACCAAGGUGGGGGACCACUUGGGAAUCCCGAGUGUUGUAGUUUUUC